UGGCAGCAGUCACAAGCUUGUCACCAGACCCGACUCUCCUGACGAACCCGUGGAACACCUGUAACCUUCAAUAACCUGUUUUUCUCUCCAUUAUAAUGAGAAGGAGCCUAUUGAUUGAUUUCAAAGAUAAAGAAGGAAUUAAAGCGGUGACAUUAUUCUCCUGGUCCGUUUCGACUUUCACUGCACAGUGAAAAGUCCUGAAUGGUUUAGUUAGCUCUGCACAGAAGAAGAGAACUGACCCAGAGGAAACAGUUCCAACUUUUUCGACAACCCAGAGGAUGAAUGUAGAAGAAGUUGGUCUGGGAAUGAGUGAAGAACAACUGGAAGAAAAAGAAGAAAGGCUGAUCUGGCGCACGGAGAGAAAGGGUGAUGGCUUCGCAGUUCCCUGCUUUGAGAAGAAAGUCAGCUCCGUGAAGGCAGCCACAAAGCAGCCCUUUCAUUUCUUUAGCUCUCCAUGAGUACGGAUAACGGAGCACAUUAAUCAGAAUCAGCAAACAUACUUUAAAGUAACCAAUUUUCUCUGAGAGCUGACCUAACAUAAACAUCUCAGCUAUCAUCGAGAGGUUCCGGAGCUGUUAUCGCCAGCAGCUAGUUUCAAUUUAACUAAAUUAUUAAGAUACAUUACGCUUAUGCCGAUGUGCUCGGCUCUGCUGCAGAGGCUGAGGACAACCCCGUCCAAGCCUUCCCUUGAACUCUGUUAUCCUUAAACUGUCUCCCUCAGGGCUCCUCAACUCUCACAACCUCUCAUUCAGAGAGUGCAGUCACCAAAAGAUCACUCAUCCCUUGGUGGGGUGGGGGGGGGGCAAUGGUGGAUAACUAUUCUAAUGUUUUGGGAGGAGAGCCCCUCUUGAAAAAAUCUUUACCAAUUUUCAAUUUUCUUCAGCAAUUAAAGUGCAUUCCUCAA
This is a non-coding RNA of Mus caroli (Ryukyu mouse), 904 nucleotides long. Lineage: Eukaryota; Metazoa; Chordata; Mammalia; Rodentia; Muridae. The record is from RefSeq and is a predicted model, not a curated record.